ACACAUGCAAGUCGUAACGCUGAAGCCUAGGUGCUUGCACCGGGUGGAUGAGUGGCGAACGGGUGAGUAACACGUGAGUAACCUGCCCCUGACUUCGGGAUAAGCCCGGGAAACUGGGUCUAAUACCGGAUACGACUGCCGGACGCAUGUCUGGUGGUGGAAAGUUUUUUCGGUUGGGGAUGGGCUCGCGGCCUAUCAGUUUGUUGGUGAGGUAAUGGCUCACCAAGACGACGACGGGUAGCCGGCCUGAGAGGGCGACCGGCCACACUGGGACUGAGACACGGCCCAGACUCCUACGGGAGGCAGCAGUGGGGAAUAUUGCACAAUGGGGGAAACCCUGAUGCAGCGACGCAGCGUGCGGGAUGACGGCCUUCGGGUUGUAAACCGCUUUCAGCAGGGAAGAAGCGCAAGUGACGGUACCUGCAGAAGAAGUACCGGCUAACUACGUGCCAGCAGCCGCGGUAAUACGUAGGGUACGAGCGUUGUCCGGAAUUAUUGGGCGUAAAGAGCUCGUAGGUGGUUGGUCACGUCUGCUGUGGAAACGCAACGCUUAACGUUGCGCGUGCAGUGGGUACGGGCUGACUAGAGUGCAGUAGGGGAGUCUGGAAUUCCUGGUGUAGCGGUGAAAUGCGCAGAUAUCAGGAGGAACACCGGUGGCGAAGGCGGGACUCUGGGCUGUAACUGACACUGAGGAGCGAAAGCAUGGGGAGCGAACAGGAUUAGAUACCCUGGUAGUCCAUGCCGUAAACGUUGGGCACUAGGUGUGGGGGGCAUUCCACGUUCUCGCGCCACACGAAAACAUAAAACCCCCCC
Molecule: ribosomal RNA, 813 nt
Filed under: Brevibacterium casei
Lineage: Bacteria; Bacillati; Actinomycetota; Actinomycetes; Micrococcales; Brevibacteriaceae
Description: bacterial SSU rRNA
Rfam family: Bacterial small subunit ribosomal RNA
Source: RNAcentral